CAAAAAGCGUUGAAGGAUAUCAGUAGAAGGUGGAACUUUCAUUUCCAGAGAGUCGGUGGGUGGUGCGAACCGAUAAUGAUCCCCUUUGAAUUACCGUCCUGAGCUGACUGGAGGAAAUUAGAGCUAUGCCAUUUAUAGCUGCUGGAGUAGUCCGGUUCCGGGAUGACGAUCCCGUUAUGGCAAUGAAGUGAAAGUCCGCUUCUUGGUAAGGCGGGCUUUAAUUAGGGUGGUAACGCGAGCGCUCCUUCUCGUCCCUUGU
Molecule: non-coding RNA, 259 nt
Filed under: Paenibacillus sp.
Lineage: Bacteria; Bacillati; Bacillota; Bacilli; Caryophanales; Paenibacillaceae
Description: T-box sequence
Rfam family: T-box leader
About the family: Uncharged tRNA acts as the effector for transcription antitermination of genes in the T-box leader family. T-boxes are found upstream of many aminoacyl-tRNA synthetase genes and some amino acid biosynthetic genes usually in Gram-positive bacteria.
Source: RNAcentral